Molecule: ribosomal RNA, 369 nt
Filed under: uncultured bacterium
Lineage: Bacteria
Description: bacterial SSU rRNA
Rfam family: Bacterial small subunit ribosomal RNA
Source: RNAcentral
GUAGGGUGCAGGCGUUAAUCGGAAUUACUGGGCGUAAAGCGUGCGCAGGCGGUUUGCUAAGACAGGUGUGAAAUCCCCGGGCUUAACCUGGGAACUGCGCUUGUAACUAGCAGGCUAGAGUGKGGCAGAGGGGGGKGGAAUUCCACGUGUAGCAGUGAAAUGCGUAGAGAUGUGGAGGAACACCGAUGGCGAAGGCAGCCCCCUGGGCUAACACUGACGCUCAUGCACGAAAGCGUGGGGAGCAAACAGGAUUAGAUACCCUGGUAGUCCACGCCCUAAACUAUGUCAACUGGUUGUCGGGGAAGCAAUUCCUUGGUAACGAAGCUAACGCGUGAAGUUGACCGCCUGGGGAGUACGGCCGCAAGGUUA